GGCUCGGUGGCUUAAUGGUUACGGCUUCUGCCUCACAAGCAGAAGGUUCAGGGAUCAAAUCCCGGCCGGUACC
RNAcentral lists this transfer RNA (73 nucleotides) under Culex quinquefasciatus (southern house mosquito). It matches the Rfam family "tRNA". Rfam says of the family: Transfer RNA (tRNA) molecules are approximately 80 nucleotides in length. Their secondary structure includes four short double-helical elements and three loops (D, anti-codon, and T loops). Lineage: Eukaryota; Metazoa; Arthropoda; Insecta; Diptera; Culicidae. The record is from Rfam by way of RNAcentral.